CGGAACGGGUGAGUAACACGUGGGCAACCCUGCCCAAAAGAGGGGGAUAACACUUGGAAACAGGUGCUAAUACCGCAUAACCAUAGUUACCGCAUGGUAGCUAUGUAAAAGGUGGCUAUGCUACCGCUUUUGGAUGGGCCCGCGGCGCAUUAGCUAGUUGGUGGGGUAAAGGCUUACCAAGGCAAUGAUGCGUAGCCGAACUGAGAGGUUGAUCGGCCACAUUGGGACUGAGACACGGCCCAAACUCCUACGGAAGGCAGCAG
RNAcentral lists this ribosomal RNA (263 nucleotides) under uncultured bacterium. RNAcentral's name for it is "partial 16S ribosomal RNA". It matches the Rfam family "Bacterial small subunit ribosomal RNA", at positions 98 to 354 of the family's 1533-position model. The record is from RNAcentral.